CAUAGAGGGUGAGAAUCCCGUAUUUGACCAUUAUUUUCAGCUGUGUGAUACACUUUCAAAGAGUCGGAUUGUUUGGGAAUGCAGUCCAAAAUGGGUGGUAAAUUUCAUCUAAAGCUAAAUAUUGGCGAGAGACCGAUAGCGAACAAGUACCGUAAGGGAAAGAUGAAAAGAACUUUGAAAAGAGAGUUAAACAGUACGUGAAAUUGUCAAAAGGGAAGCGUUUGACACCAGUGUUGUUUUCUCGAAAAUCAAUUAAAAAAAGUUGGAUUUUGUGUUUGUAUGACCUUAACAGCUUCUUUCACUUUUUUCCUGCUUUUUUUAAUGCACUUUUCGUUUAACAAGUCAACAUCAGUUUCUUUUGUUGUAAAAAGGUCAUUGGAAGGUGGCUUUCUUUUCGGAGAAAGUGUUUAUAGCCUUUGACUCCUGCAAUCGGAGAGACUGAGGUCUGCAGCGUAGAUCCUUCGGGGUUAGAUACAUUUGUGCUAAGUUAUAGCUUUUCAUAGACAACUUGUUGACUAUGUUUAGUCAUGUAGCUUACUCGCUUAUGCUAUUUUACCUACGCUUAGGAUGUUGAA
Molecule: ribosomal RNA, 575 nt
Filed under: uncultured Neocallimastigomycetes
Lineage: Eukaryota; Fungi; Neocallimastigomycota; Neocallimastigomycetes
Description: partial large subunit ribosomal RNA
Rfam family: Eukaryotic large subunit ribosomal RNA
Source: RNAcentral